Molecule: ribosomal RNA, 253 nt
Filed under: uncultured bacterium
Lineage: Bacteria
Description: partial 16S ribosomal RNA
Rfam family: Bacterial small subunit ribosomal RNA
Source: RNAcentral
UACGUAGGGGGCAAGCGUUGUCCGGAUUUAUUGGGCGUAAAGAGCGUGUAGGCGGCCAAAUAGGUCGGUUGUGAAAACUGGAGGCUUAACCUCCAGACGUCGACCGAAACCAUCUGGCUAGAGUCCGGAAGAGGAGAGUGGAAUUCCUGGUGUAGCGGUGAAAUGCGUAGAUAUCGCUUGGAACGCCAAUGGUGAAAACAGCUCGCUGGGGGUGUGCUGACGCUGAGACACGAAAGCCAGGGGAGCGAACGGG